AGCAGCCGCGGUAAUUCCAGCUCCAAUAGCGUAUAUUAAAGUUGUUGCAGUUAAAAAGCUCGUAGUUGAGUUUCGGGGUUUAUCCGUUGGUCGGGCUUUUGGGUCUGUACUGGCGUGAUGGAUUCCUACCUUCUGAAUAACCAGCAUGUCAUUAAUUUGGUGCGUUGGGGAAGCAGGACUGUUACCUUGAAAAAAUUAGAGUGCUUAAAGCAGGCUAUUGCCUGAAUACAUUAGCAUGGAAUAAUGAAAUAGGACGCAUGGUUCUAUUUUGUUGGUUUCUAGGAUCACCGUAAUGAUUAAUAGGGAUAGUUGGGGGCAUUAGUAUUCAAUUGUCAGAGGUGAAAUUCUUGGAUUUAUUGAAGACUAACUUCUGCGAAAGCAUUUGCCAAGGAUGUUCUCAUUAAUCAAGAACGAAAGUUAGGGGAUCGAAGACGAUCAGAUACCGUCGUAGUCUUAACCAUAAACUAUGCCGACUAGGGAUCGGACGAUGUUAAUUUUUUAAUGACUCGUUCGGCGCCUU
RNAcentral lists this ribosomal RNA (520 nucleotides) under uncultured Glomeromycotina. RNAcentral's name for it is "SSU rRNA". It matches the Rfam family "Eukaryotic small subunit ribosomal RNA", at positions 569 to 1089 of the family's 1831-position model. The record is from RNAcentral. Lineage: Eukaryota; Fungi; Glomeromycota.